CAUUAUUUUUUUCUUUUGCUGUUUGCUUGUUUGCUGACUCUACUUACCAAAAGCAACUAGGAAAGAGCAUAAGGAACUGAAUUGUAGUGUUAAUUCUGUAUUUAUUUGUGAUUAAAUUGCUUUCCUGUGCUUUGAUUUAUGAGGAAGGGGAAGCAUAAAUGGAUGACUAAGGGAUUCAGCUGCAAAACUCCCCUUAAUUUCUGUGUCUGCUGUUUGGUCGAGCAGUGCAACAGGCUUUAAACUUCUUCAGUGGUGCCCACAGUAUGCUGAAUAUGAUAGAAAAUGUUGUCUGGUUUAACUCUGAAGAGCUUACAGUCUAAGCAAGACAACAACAGGAGAGCAUGGAGGGAGCAGACAUCUGGAUUGCCUGUGACCAGGACAAUGCGCAUGGAGUCCUCCCUGCAGGGACUCUUGCAGGGUCUGGGGGCCGCUCAUCUGGAGCUGCACAGUUGUACAUGGAGUGGUUGGUGA
This 471-nucleotide long non-coding RNA is filed under the name Anser brachyrhynchus (Pink-footed goose). Its description in RNAcentral is "lncRNA (ENSABRG00000010439.1)". Lineage: Eukaryota; Metazoa; Chordata; Aves; Anseriformes; Anatidae. The record is from RNAcentral.